Molecule: non-coding RNA, 1059 nt
Organism: Pelodiscus sinensis (Chinese soft-shelled turtle)
Lineage: Eukaryota; Metazoa; Chordata; Testudines; Trionychidae
Source: RefSeq, a predicted model, not a curated record
UUCUUGUGUCUUCCUCAGAAGACUUGUAGUGGCCUCUCUUAACCCAAUACGGGUCUGGAUAGACUAUGGACUUGAUGGGCCAUGACUUUACAUAGUAGGCUGUUUUACAUUUUAAAAAUUGUCUUGGAUUGUAAAGUCUCUGGGGGCAGGGACCUUGGCUUGAUACCCAGUUGGAACAUAUAGAAUGAUUGGCGGUGAAGCUUUGAGCAGAAGUUGUGUGUUAAAUAACUAGGGGGAAAGGAACCAGUUCAGAGUUAAUGGGACAGGGAACUGUGAGCUGUUACUGACACACUCUGCAGGAAAUUAAUCAAACAAGCCACUAGCCUUAUUGUAAGUUGUGAGCUACCCAACCACCGCAAGCAAGCUUUCUAAGGACUAGGAUGGGGAAGGUCAUACAUAGAGUACCCAGGUCUCAAUGCAUAAUGGUAGCUUGUUUCUUCCUGACUGUUGAUCUUAUUUCUUUGUGUAUUUCAGGUCGGUGUGGUGGGAGGGGUUGUUGCUGACUUCCUGAAAGCAUGCAUCUGUCUGCAUUGGGUUAAUCCUCCAGAAGCAGGUGAGCCACUGACUAACGCACAUUGUGCUGUUAAAGACUCCACUGUGCGUGUGACAGCGGCUAACCUGCUUUUCGGACAUCACUAUAUGUACUCCAUCCUGCCCCAUGAAGAGGCAAUGCUGGAUACUGGGGACUGCACCUAGCUUCCAUCAACAUGUCAGAAAGGAAAGCGCCGCUGCUACUCUGUCUUUUGCUGAGGAUGGUAGAAAAGGAACGGAGGGGGAACCACGCUGCGCGCACAGCUGAAACAAAACAGCGUGAGAUGGCAGCUGCGCAUGUGUGACACGGGAAUGCACCUCUAGGUGAAAAUCUCUAAUCGCCGUCACGAGGACGCACCAAGACCUGAGUGGAGCACCCACAGAGACACCACUCACAGGAGAACCAAUAUUCUAGACCUCACACUCCACCUUGGCCUGAGCGCACCCAGAUCUGCUGAAUGCUAAUUCUUGCUGUAAGGCUUUUGUUCUUGGGCUUUCAGGAUGAAGGAUGAGAAGGCUGAGAUCAGA